Non-coding RNA from Gossypium arboreum, 107 nucleotides. Lineage: Eukaryota; Viridiplantae; Streptophyta; Magnoliopsida; Malvales; Malvaceae. The record is from Rfam.
AAACCAUGCAUCGGGCAUUUUCUGAUUAACUCUUUGAAUCAUUCCCAUGCUUCAUAUAAUAUUUCAUCCUCAAAUUUCCAAAAAGAUGUAUAAUCAUUCCUUAGUUU